RNAcentral lists this ribosomal RNA (253 nucleotides) under uncultured bacterium. RNAcentral describes it as "partial 16S ribosomal RNA". It matches the Rfam family "Bacterial small subunit ribosomal RNA", at positions 524 to 776 of the family's 1533-position model. The record is from RNAcentral.
UACGUAGGGCGCAAGCGUUGUCCGGAAUUAUUGGGCGUAAAGAGCUCGUAGGCGGCUUGUCACGUCGGGUGUGAAAGCCCGGGGCUUAACCCCGGGUCUGCAUUCGAUACGGGCGGACUAGAGUUCGGUAGGGGAGACUGGAAUUCCUGGUGUAGCGGUGAAAUGCGCAGAUAUCAGGAGGAACACCGGUGGCGAAGGCGGGUCUCUGGGCCGAUACUGACGCUGAGGGGCGAAAGCGUGGGGAGCGAACAGG